Molecule: ribosomal RNA, 255 nt
Filed under: uncultured bacterium
Lineage: Bacteria
Description: partial 16S ribosomal RNA
Rfam family: Bacterial small subunit ribosomal RNA
Source: RNAcentral
UACGGGGGGGAGCAAGCGUUGUUCAGAUUUACUGGGCGUAAAGGGCGCGUAGGCGGCGUGACAAGUCACUUGUGAAAUCUCCGGGCUUAACUCGGAACGGUCAAGUGAUACUGUCGUGCUAGAGUACAGAAGGGGCAACUGGGAAUUCUCGGUGUAGCGGUGAAAUGCGUAGAUAUCGAGAGGAACACCUGCGGCGAAGGCGGGUUGCUGGGCUGAUACUGACGCUGAGGCGCGAAAGCUAGGGGAGCGAACGGG